This 668-nucleotide ribosomal RNA is filed under the name Bacillus sp. LKS-67. RNAcentral's name for it is "bacterial SSU rRNA". It matches the Rfam family "Bacterial small subunit ribosomal RNA", at positions 56 to 706 of the family's 1533-position model. The record is from RNAcentral. Lineage: Bacteria; Bacillati; Bacillota; Bacilli; Caryophanales; Bacillaceae.
UGCAAGUCGAGCGAACAAGAAGAAGCUUGCUUCUUCUUUGUUAGCGGCGGAUGGGUGAGUAACACGUGGGCAACCUGCCCUGCAGAUGGGGAUAACUCCGGGAAACCGGGGCUAAUACCGAAUAAUCAGUUUGUUCGCAUGAACAAACUCUGAAAGACGGUUCACGCUGUCACUGCAGGAUGGGCCCGCGGCGCAUUAGCUAGUUGGUGGGAUAACGGCCUACCAAGGCGACGAUGCGUAGCCGACCUGAGAGGGUGAUCGGCCACACUGGGACUGAGACACGGCCCAGACUCCUACGGGAGGCAGCAGUAGGGAAUCUUCCACAAUGGACGAAAGUCUGAUGGAGCAAUGCCGCGUGAGUGAAGAAGGUUUUCGGAUCGUAAAACUCUGUUGUGAGGGAAGAACAAGUACGGGAGUAACUGCCCGUACCUUGACGGUACCUCAUUAGAAAGCCACGGCUAACUACGUGCCAGCAGCCGCGGUAAUACGUAGGUGGCAAGCGUUGUCCGGAAUUAUUGGGCGUAAAGCGCGCGCAGGCGGCCUUUUAAGUCUGAUGUGAAAGNNCNCGGCUCAACCGUGGAAGGUCAUUGGAAACUGAAAGGCUUGAGUACAGAAGAGGAAAGCGGAAUUCCACGUGUAGCGGUGAAAUGCGUAGAGAUGUGGAGGAA